AUAAAGCAGGCUUUCGGCUAAGCACUUACCUAAUAACACAGAUCUCCAGGUGAUGCCAUUGCACCACCAAGGUGGAGAACCAGUGCCAGUCGCGGCUUUAGUUCGAGAAGCUUCACUACCUCCUCAUGAGGAGGAAGCAAGUCAGUGUCACUGAACUGCGUUCUGUCGCCCUUCACCCCACAGGACUCGGUUCGAGAUGUUAAUGGUUGCUGUCCAUCAUGCUGAGUGGUCCCAGGCCAUCAGAUUAAGCUGAGGCAUCUGGAAACACCACAUCUGAACAUCGGUUUUAUGACACCCAGCAAGGAGCCUUCUUUUAUCGUAAUACCUAAAAGUUUCUGAGCCAAGAGGCCACUGCCUGAUAAACUUUGCAGAAACAUCACCUGGAAUUAAGAGAAGAAAUUUCCUUCCAGAACAAAGACCCCAAAGGAAAAAGCAACUCAAUUCAUGAAGGAUGUAAAUAAACACACCCUAAAUUUUCAGGGAGCAUCUUUGGGUAGAUUUUUUUUUCUCUUGUCACCUAAGCAUUUUACAAGUUCUGCUGACUUUCUAGAUCAAGUGGAAACAAAAAAUACCAUUCUUCAUUUUUACAGUCACAUCCACUUAUAUGGAUAGCACCAUGGGAUGGGCAGAACUCUGAGCUUAGGACACUGUUGUUUGUGUGUUAGUUGCUCAGUCGUGUCCGACUGUUUGUGACCCUAUGGAAUAUAGCCUGCCAGGCUCCUCUUUCCAUGGAAUUCUCCAGGCAAAAAUACUGGAAUAGGUUGCCAUUUCCUUCUCUAGGGGAUCUUCCCGACCCAGGGAUCGAACCCUGGUCUCCUGCAAUCCAGGCAGAUUCUUUACCACUGAGCCACCAGGGAAGCCAAGAUGCAUUGAGAAUAACCCAAAAUGCCCUUGGGCUUCCUAGGUGGCUCAGUGGUGAAGAACCCGCUUGCCAAGCAGGAGACGUGGGUUUGGUCCCCGGGUCAGGAAGAUUACCUGGAGAAGGAAAUGGCAACCUACUCCAGUAUUCUUGCCUGGGAAAUCCCAUGGACAGAGGAGCCUGGCAGGCUACAGUCCAUGGGGUCACAGAGUUGGACAUGACUUAGCAACUAAAUAGUACAGUAGCAGAAAUGCCCUAAAUUACACUGUUCCCUUCCACUGCCAGAAAUUAAAAAUUUAAAAAAAAGAAGAAGAAAAAAAAAAAAGAAACCUGGAAACCCUACAUACUUAAUUUCCUCCUUGUGUUAAGGACUUUUGGUUAUUUUUCAAUUUUUUCUUUCAGUUUUAUUGAGAUAUAAUUGCCAUAUAGCACUGUAUAAGUUUACUGUGUAUAGCAUAAAGAUUUGACUUACAUUAAGAAACAAACAUCUUCAAGUUAUUGCAUUUCUUCAUUAUUUUAAUGAACUAAGCAAGGUAAAAUUGAGUUAUCUCUAUGAAACCCUCUCUGAUCUAUGUCUGUUUUUAUAAUUGUACUGAGUAUUUUUAUUAAUAAAUGUUCUAAACUAUUCUGAUAUGUUAAAAUAUAUUUAUUCAUUUCACUUGCAUGUAUGAGAUUAGACUUCUCAGGGAAAAGGUAUGAACAUCUUUAACUUGAGAAAUGUGGCCAGAUUGGAAAUACUGCAGAUAAUGGGGUUGUACCAUUUUCUCCCACUUAUUUCUGUACUUUCUAUUUCUUAAAGAUUCCAUACUUUAUAUUAAAAAGUAUAUUUCUUAGCCUUAUUGUUUGCCUUUUGAAAGUACUGUUAUGAGGUUUUUGGGUAUUUUGAAAUUUUCUCUUUUCCCUUGAUUUUCAAUAAUAUGAUGAUAAUGGGUCUCAGGGUGUUCUUUGUACUUCAUGAGAAUCGCUGCUCACAGAAUCUG
Bos taurus (domestic cattle) is the source of this 1839-nucleotide long non-coding RNA. NCBI's taxonomy places the organism in Eukaryota, Metazoa, Chordata, Mammalia, Artiodactyla, Bovidae. The record is from Ensembl.